CCCUUAGAUGUUCUGGGCCGCACGCGCGCUACACUGAUGCAUUCAACGAGUCUAAAACCUGCUCUGAUAGGGGUGGGUAAUCUUUUGAAUGUGCAUCGUGAUUGGGAUAGAUGAUUGCAAUUUUUCAUCUUCAACGAGGAAUGCCUAGUAAACGCAAGUCAUCAGCUUGCGUUGAUUACGUCCCUGCCCUUUGUACACACCGCCCGUCGCUCCUACCGAUUGAAUGAUCCGAUGAAUAUCAUGGAUUGAGGAUGCAAGUAGGUUAGCCUAUCUUCAUCUUCGAGAAGUGAAGUAAAUCUUAUCAUUUAGAGGAAGGAGAAGUCGUAACA
This 329-nucleotide ribosomal RNA is filed under the name uncultured eukaryote. RNAcentral's name for it is "partial 18S ribosomal RNA". It matches the Rfam family "Eukaryotic small subunit ribosomal RNA", at positions 1470 to 1796 of the family's 1831-position model. The record is from RNAcentral.